This is a non-coding RNA of Peromyscus maniculatus bairdii (prairie deer mouse), 252 nucleotides long. The record is from RefSeq and is a predicted model, not a curated record. NCBI's taxonomy places the organism in Eukaryota, Metazoa, Chordata, Mammalia, Rodentia, Cricetidae.
AAUCUUCUAUAUUGUGUCAACACCAAAACACGAUCACAAACAUGAUGAGAUGGUGAUGGACAGAGAGAAAGAAAUGCAGGUAAAAUGGUGAAGCAAAGAACUAUAAUCUAUCUAGUUGUCUAUCAACAGAAGAAUGGAUAAAGAAGAUUUGACAUCUAGACAUAUAUGACAGGAACCUCUCAGAGAAGUAGAGCUGAGGAUCAUGGGAGCUCUGGAAAGUGUUCAGACAUCAAGCAAAGUUGGAGAAUUCAG